UCACACAAGUUUUUAAUUUUUUUAACUUUUGGUGUGUGAGAUAGAAGGAUAGAUAUUUUUGUAAUCAAGUCGUAUUGUAUUAGUUGUAAUAUUUUUGUUCUUAGUAUUAUUAUAGAAAUUAUAGAGGAAACUAUGGGUGUGUUUGGUUUAAAUAUUGGAAUCAGAAUUGUGAUGAGAAUUAAAUCUAUACUUCUAUACUAUUAAUAAAAACAAAAAAUUUUAUUUUAA
Long non-coding RNA from Ipomoea nil (Japanese morning glory), 228 nucleotides. RefSeq lists it as uncharacterized. NCBI's taxonomy places the organism in Eukaryota, Viridiplantae, Streptophyta, Magnoliopsida, Solanales, Convolvulaceae. The record is from RefSeq and is a predicted model, not a curated record. The transcript has 3 exons.